GACGGAGGAUGCAAGUGUUAUCCGGAAUCACUGGGCGUAAAGCGUCUGUAGGUGGUUCGAAAAGUCCACUGUUAAAAAUUGAGGCUUAACUUCAAAGAUGCCGUGGAAACUUUCAAACUAGAGUAUGGUAGGGGUAGAGGGAAUUUCCAGUGGAGCGGUGAAAUGCGUAGAGAUCGGGAGGAACACCAGUGGCGAAGGCGGCCUUCUGGACCAGCACUGACACUCAAGCACGAAAGCGUGGGGAGCAAACAGG
This 253-nucleotide ribosomal RNA is filed under the name uncultured bacterium. RNAcentral describes it as "partial 16S ribosomal RNA". It matches the Rfam family "Bacterial small subunit ribosomal RNA", at positions 524 to 776 of the family's 1533-position model. The record is from RNAcentral.